GACGUAGGAUGCGAGCGUUGUCCGGAUUCAUUGGGCGUAAAGAGUUCGUAGGCGGUUUGUUAAGUCUGAUGUUAAAUAUUGGGGCCUAACCUCGAGAGUGCAUUGGAUACUGGCAGACUGGAGUGCAGUAGAGGCAAGUGGAAUUCCCAGUGUAGCGGUGAAAUGCGUAGAUAUUGGGAAGAACACCGGUGGCGCAGGCGACUUGCUGGGCUGUAACUGACGCUGAGGAACGAAAGCUAGGGGAGCAAAUGGGAUUAGAUACCCCAGUAGUCCUAGCUGUAAACGAUGGAUACUAGGCGUUGCAGGUAUCGACCCCUGCAGUGCCGCAGUUAACGCGAUAAGUAUCCCGCCUGAGUAGUACGGCCGCAAGGUUG
This 374-nucleotide ribosomal RNA is filed under the name uncultured bacterium. Its description in RNAcentral is "bacterial SSU rRNA". It matches the Rfam family "Bacterial small subunit ribosomal RNA", at positions 524 to 896 of the family's 1533-position model. The record is from RNAcentral.